UGUUAAGUCGGAUGUGAAAGCCCCGGGCUCAACCUGGGAAUAGCAUUUAGAACUGGCAGGCUAGAGUCUUGGAGAGGGGAGUGGAAUUCCAGGUGUAGCGGUGAAAUGCGUAGAGAUCUGAAGGAACAUCAGUGGCGAAGGCGACUCCCUGGCCAAAGACUGACGCUCAUGUGCGAAAGUGUGGGUAGCGAACAGGAUUAGAUACCCUGGUAGUCCA
Molecule: ribosomal RNA, 217 nt
Filed under: Schmidingerella taraikaensis
Lineage: Eukaryota; Ciliophora; Spirotrichea; Tintinnida; Rhabdonellidae
Description: partial Bacterial small subunit ribosomal RNA
Rfam family: Bacterial small subunit ribosomal RNA
Source: RNAcentral